AACGAACGCUGGCGGCAGGCUUAACACAUGCAAGUCGAACGCCUGGGAGCGAUCCCGGGAGUGGCAGACGGGUGAGUAACACGUGGGAACAUACCUUUGGUUCGGAACAACUCUGGGAAACUAGAGCUAAUACCGGAUAAGCCUCUGGAGCGAUUUGGGGGGAAAGGUUAGAUCUGCCUGAGGAUUGGCCCGCGUCCGAUUAGCUUGUUGGUGGGGUAACGGCUCACCAAGGCUUCGAUCGGAGCUGGUCUGAGAGGAUGGCCAGCCAC
Molecule: ribosomal RNA, 269 nt
Filed under: uncultured bacterium
Lineage: Bacteria
Description: partial 16S ribosomal RNA
Rfam family: Bacterial small subunit ribosomal RNA
Source: RNAcentral